AUAAUUAUUAAUAUAUAGAAAAGAAAAAUAAUAGUAUUAGGGAAAUUAAUUUAAAAUUAAAAUGUGUUAGUAUUGUUUAAAGAAACCAUAUGUGGGGGUAACUGUAAAGGUAUAUUGAAAUAUAAAAAUAAAAAUUUAGAUAAAAGUAAAUAAAUAUUGUACCUUUUGUAUCAGGGUUUAUUAAAAAGAAUUAUAAAAUAAAUAAAAUCCCGAAUUAAAAAGAGCUAUUAAUUAUAGUUUUUUUAUGUAGAAAAAUAAUAAGUAAAUAAUUAAUAGGGAUGAAAGGUCAUUCGAGUUUUAAGAUUUCUGGUUAUUUAAUAAAUAGAUUUAAUCUAAUUUUAUAUAAAAAAUAAUUAAUUAAUUAAGAUAAAAAUAUAUAAAAUAAAUAUUAAGAGGGACAAGCUUUUUAAUAAAAGUAUAUUAAUAAAAUAAGAAAUAAAUAUAGGCUUGUAAAUGGCCAUUAUUAAUAAUAUGUAAUAAUUAAUUUUUAUAGGAAAAAUAUUUAAAGUUAAUUACUGGAAUAUUAAAUAAUAAAAAUUAAUUAAAAAUUUUUAAAAAUAAUGAUAAAAUUAAUAAAAUGAAAAAAGUUUAAAUAAGGAACUCGGCAAAAAUAAAGUUUGACUGUUUAACAAAAACAUAGCUUCUUGAAUUUAUGGGAGGUAUAACCUGCCCACUGAAAAUUUGAAGGGCCGCGGUAUUUUGACCGUGCAAAGGUAGCAUAAUCAUUAGUCUUUUAAUUGGAGGCUGGAAUGAAGGGUUGCACAUAACUAAAGCUGUCUCAUUUAAAAUAGUGAAUUUAACUUUUAAGUGAAAAGGCUUAAAUACAUUAAGGGGACGAGAAGACCCUAUAGAGCUUUAUUAAUAAAAUAUUUAUAUUUUUAGAAGAAUUUUAAUGUAAAUUUUUUAAUUAAUUAUAUUGGGGUGAUAAGAAAAUAAUAAAACUUUUCUAAAAAUAACAAUAAUGUUUGGGUUAAAGAUCCUUUCUUAAGGAUUAUAAGAUUAAGUUACCUUAGGGAUAACAGCGUAAUUCUUUUGGAGAGUUCUUAUCGAUAAAAGAGUUUGCGACCUCGAUGUUGGACUAAGAAUAGUAUUAGGGGCAGCCCCUUAAGAUGCUAGGUCUGUUCGACCUUUAAAUUCUUACAUGAUCUGAGUUCAGACCGGCGUGAGCCAGGUCGGUUUCUAUCUUUUAAAUUGAAAUCACUUUUUUAGUACGAAAGGACCAAAGAGUGGGGGAUUACUUAAUUUCAAGAAUAAGUUUAAAUG
Molecule: ribosomal RNA, 1263 nt
Filed under: Caenis sp. JYZ-2020
Lineage: Eukaryota; Metazoa; Arthropoda; Insecta; Ephemeroptera; Caenidae
Description: 16S ribosomal RNA
Rfam family: Archaeal large subunit ribosomal RNA (bases 574-1263)
Source: RNAcentral